GGCGUGGGGGCUCUAUACAUGCAGUAGAACGCUGAAGAGAGGAGCUUGCUCUUCUUGGAUGAGUUGCGAACGGGUGAGUAACGCGUAGGUAACCUGCCUUGUAGCGGGGGAUAACUAUUGGAAACGAUAGCUAAUACCGCAUAACAAUGGAUGACACAUGUCAUUUAUUUGAAAGGGGCAAUUGCUCCACUACAAGAUGGACCUGCGUUGUAUUAGCUAGUAGGUGAGGUAAUGGCUCACCUAGGCGACGAUACAUAGCCGACCUGAGAGGGUGAUCGGCCACACUGGGACUGAGACACGGCCCAGACUCCUACGGGAGGCAGCAGUAGGGAAUCUUCGGCAAUGGGGGCAACCCUGACCGAGCAACGCCGCGUGAGUGAAGAAGGUUUUCGGAUCGUAAAGCUCUGUUGUAAGUCAAGAACGGGUGUGAGAGUGGAAAGUUCACACUGUGACGGUAGCUUACCAGAAAGGGACGGCUAACUACGUGCCAGCAGCCGCGGUAAUACGUAGGUCCCGAGCGUUGUCCGGAUUUAUUGGGCGUAAAGCGAGCGCAGGCGGUUUGAUAAGUCUGAAGUUAAAGGCUGUGGCUCAACCAUAGUUCGCUUUGGAAACUGUCAAACUUGAGUGCAGAAGGGGAGAGUGGAAUUCCAUGUGUAGCGGUGAAAUGCGUAGAUAUAUGGAGGAACACCGGUGGCGAAAGCGGCUCUCUGGUCUGUAACUGACGCUGAGGCUCGAAAGCGUGGGGAGCGAACAGGAUUAGAUACCCUGGUAGUCCACGCCGUAAACGAUGAGUGCUAGGUGUUGGAUCCUUUCCGGGAUUCAGUGCCGCAGCUAACGCAUUAAGCACUCCGCCUGGGGAGUACGACCGCAAGGUUGAAACUCAAAGGAAUUGACGGGGGCCCGCACAAGCGGUGGAGCAUGUGGUUUAAUUCGAAGCAACGCGAAGAACCUUACCAGGUCUUGACAUCCCGAUGCUAUUUCUAGAGAUAGAAAGUUACUUCGGUACAUCGGUGACAGGUGGUGCAUGGUUGUCGUCAGCUCGUGUCGUGAGAUGUUGGGUUAAGUCCCGCAACGAGCGCAACCCCUAUUGUUAGUUGCCAUCAUUCAGUUGGGCACUCUAGCGAGACUGCCGGUAAUAAACCGGAGGAAGGUGGGGAUGACGUCAAAUCAUCAUGCCCCUUAUGACCUGGGCUACACACGUGCUACAAUGGUUGGUACAACGAGUUGCGAGUCGGUGACGGCGAGCUAAUCUCUUAAAGCCAAUCUCAGUUCGGAUUGUAGGCUGCAACUCGCCUACAUGAAGUCGGAAUCGCUAGUAAUCGCGGAUCAGCACGCCGCGGUGAAUACGUUCCCGGGCCUUGUACACACCGCCCGUCACACCACGAGAGUUUGUAACACCCGAAGUCGGUGAGGUAACCUUUGGAGCCAGCCGCUAAGUGAGCAAGU
This 1446-nucleotide ribosomal RNA is filed under the name Streptococcus thermophilus. RNAcentral describes it as "bacterial SSU rRNA". It matches the Rfam family "Bacterial small subunit ribosomal RNA". Lineage: Bacteria; Bacillati; Bacillota; Bacilli; Lactobacillales; Streptococcaceae. The record is from RNAcentral.